UAUCUCGAAAGUAAAAGAUCUACUUAAAUUAUUCAGUUCUUGUGUCAAAAAGAUUGAAGAGGUUUAUUUAGGUGUGAAAUGUUUAUCGUUUUUACUAAUAUCUAGUAACUUUAGAAAAAAAUUUAGUUUAAAUCAUUGAGAAUUUCUUAUUUUUUAUAUGUAUUUAUAUUUUAGGGGAUGAGCUCUAAAAUAAAUUUAUAAGAAAAAAAUUUUUGAAUUUUUAGUAGGCUUAGAAUUGGCCAUAUGAUAUUGUUAUAAGAUAUAAAUUUAAAUUUAAGAUUUAAUUUUUCUUUUGGUUGUAUAAAGUUAAAGAAGGAAUAAAAAAAAUUUUGAAAAUAUGAUAGUAUAAGUAGAAAGAAAAAUAAAUUUUUCUUUAUUUUGUGUAUAAUAAAUUGUUACAAAAGAACUCGGCAAAAAGGAUUUCCGAAUGUUUAACAAAAACAUUUCCUCUUAAAAAAGGAGGUAAGGCCUGCUCACUGAAAAUUAAAGAGCCGCAGUAUUCUGACUGUGCUAAGGUAGCAUAAUCAUUAGUCUUUUAAUUGAAGACUGGUAUGAAUGGCUAAACGAGAAAUCAACUUUUUUUGUUUCAUAAAUUGAAUUUAAUUUUUUAGUGAAAAAGCUAAAAUAUUUCAGAAAGACGAGAAGACCCUAUAGAGUUUUAUAUUUUUCGAAAUUUUUUUUUAUUAGAUUUUUCUGAAAAAAAUUUAGGAAAAGUAUUUUGUUGGGGCGACAUUAAGAUAUAAAAAACUCUUUAUUUUUAAAACUUUGAUAAAAGAAUAAUAGUUUGAUCCUUUAAAAAAGAUCAUAAGAAAAAAUUACCUUAGGGAUAACAGCGUAAUCUUUUUUGAGAGUUCUAAUCGACAAAAAGGUUUGCGACCU
RNAcentral lists this ribosomal RNA (879 nucleotides) under Tetraclitella purpurascens. RNAcentral's name for it is "partial 16S ribosomal RNA". The stretch from base 419 to 573 matches the Rfam family "Archaeal large subunit ribosomal RNA", at positions 1883 to 2090 of the family's 2987-position model. The record is from RNAcentral. Lineage: Eukaryota; Metazoa; Arthropoda; Thecostraca; Balanomorpha; Tetraclitidae.